Molecule: long non-coding RNA, 277 nt
Filed under: Elaeis guineensis (African oil palm)
Lineage: Eukaryota; Viridiplantae; Streptophyta; Magnoliopsida; Arecales; Arecaceae
Description: long non-coding RNA (EGUI_LNC060883)
Source: RNAcentral
AUGGAUUGAUCACUAUCCUCUGUGAUGAUUCUUUGAUUAGGAGUAUUUAAAAAUUAACCACUAAUUAAUGUAUAUCUCAAAUUCUUAAUACUUUAAGAAUAUACAAAAAUCAUCUUUAUUAAUUUUUAAGAUAAAUCAUGGACACAUAAAUAUAAUUGGAAUGAAAAAGUCUUUUAUUGAUAAUAAAAGAAUUACAAGUACAAGUUUAAGCCAUGAAAUUACAUAAUGUAUCAGUCAAUAAUUGACUUUUAAGGCACAAAUCCAACAUAACCUCCUC